Molecule: long non-coding RNA, 1545 nt
Organism: Ipomoea nil (Japanese morning glory)
Lineage: Eukaryota; Viridiplantae; Streptophyta; Magnoliopsida; Solanales; Convolvulaceae
Exons: 5
Source: RefSeq, a predicted model, not a curated record
UUGUCAACCACUUUAAUUCCUUUCAUAAAUAAAGAUUAUAAUCCUAUAAAGAUGUUCGUUUUAAUUUUUGCAAUGUUAUCCUUUGAUGAUCACAUAGGGAGGGAGUAAUGAUCUUUGCAAUCCAAUCCCAGUUAGUGAGGUCCGAUCCUCAAUAGGCUUUGCCUCAACUUCAUAAAAUUCAUUUAUCACGUACCUGGGGAUUGAACUGAUGCCAUAGUGGAAACAUCAUCUCCAAAGGAACCAACCUAUCCUUCCAGGCUGCUUUCUCCGGGGCAGAGCAAUUGGCCUUAUGCCCAUGAUUGAUCAGGGAGAAAAAGAUGACAAUAUUUGAUGCUUAACCACAAUUAUUGAGACAAGAAGAAUGAGAAGAAGGAAGUUGCAGUUAAUGAGUUUGUACCGGCAUCUGAUGCUUAUGAAGCCAUCCAGCAUUCCAUGGCCUGAAGCUCCAAAGCUUUUCAAUGUGGUAAUUGAGAUCAGCAAAGGGGGUAAGGUGAAGUAUGAAGUGGAUAAGAAGAGUGGACUUAUCAAGGUAAAAAAUAUCACAAAUUGUUUAUUGAAAACAUGCACAGAGUCAGCCCGAGCCCGCCAAUAUUUAGGUUAAUGGUUGGCCUGGGGAAAAAAUUUCCGUAGGUUAUAUUUGUUCCCAUCUGUCCAUCUCUUUCAAGUCUACUCAUGCAUUAAUUUACAAUUUGUGAUUCAUCAUUUUGGUUUUUUUACUUUCAUUGUAUAUGGAAGGUUACAAAUCAAAUCCACUAUUGCUAUGGUUGUACAAGCUUAGGUUCGACCAAUAUGGUUGUAUAAAAAAUUCACUUAUUCAAAUAUACAAUAUUUAUUUUACUUGAGAGAAAUAUUUUACAAAAAUAAUUAUAUCAUUUUUAACAUGCAAUUCAAAAAGGGAGUAAGGUUCUCAUCAUUUGCAUUAGUUGGGGCUAGCACUAGAGAUGGUGUGACCGCCUCAACAUCCUUCACAUGUUUACCUCCUAACACUCAUUCAACAACUCGAUAUUGAAUUCUGGAUUUCAUUACCUCAUAUGGGGGUAUGGAGCUCCGAUCCUCAAUAGGCUUUGCCUCAACUUCAUAAAAUUCACUUAUCACCUGGGGAUUCAACUCAUACAUACCAUUUACCCCUGAUGAAUGUCUCACACUUGUAGGAUCAUUAGUUAGAUUGCAAUAAAACUCACAGUUUAAAAGCUUGGAAUAGGGACCAACAUACAUUCUCCACUGUUGAAUGCCAUCCAGCCAAUUUCUUGAAGCAGUGGGAAUUUUCUUUCUCUUCUCAGUACAGGGCAGCAUAGAUGGAUGACUCAGAUAUAGAAGGUGCAAAAAGAUAUUGAAACAGUAGGCACAGAUUCUUCAGUAGUAGGCAAGACAUGUGACUCACAAAUGUGACUCAGACCGAUACAGAUAUAGAUAAUUCCUCAGAAUAAACGCUUAAUACUUUGAAUUCUAAUUCUUUGGUAUAUGUUUUGAAUUUACUUAUUCCUCACUCUGUGGAUAUGAUGGCAAUUGGCAAAGGGUCGUCCUGCUCGGGAUCAUCCAUCCUAA